This 72-nucleotide transfer RNA is filed under the name Capra hircus (goat). It matches the Rfam family "tRNA". From Rfam's summary of the family: Transfer RNA (tRNA) molecules are approximately 80 nucleotides in length. The record is from Rfam by way of RNAcentral. Lineage: Eukaryota; Metazoa; Chordata; Mammalia; Artiodactyla; Bovidae. RNAcentral also lists the same sequence under 1 other name.
UCCUUGAUAACUCAGUUGGUAAAGAAUCUGCCUAUAAUGCAGGAAAUCUGGGUUCGAUUCCUGGGUCAGGAA